CGGUUAAGUUAGAAAGGGCGCACGGUGGAUGCCUUGGCACUAGGAGCCGAUGAAGGACGGGACGAACACCGAUAUGCUUCGGGGAGCUGUAAGCAAGCUUUGAUCCGGAGAUUUCCGAAUGGGGAAACCCACCACUCGUAAUGGAGUGGUAUCCAUAUCUGAAUACAUAGGAUAUGAGAAGGCAGACCCGGGGAACUGAAACAUCUAAGUACCCGGAGGAAGAGAAAGCAAAUGCGAUUCCCUGAGUAGCGGCGAGCGAAACGGGACCAGCCCAAACCAAGAGGCUUGCCUCUUGGGGUUGUAGGACACUCUGUACGGAGUUACAAAGGAAAAACUUCGUUCUCUCCUGAGUGGAUCCUGAGUACGGCGGAACACGUGAAAUUCCGUCGGAAUCCGGGAGGACCAUCUCCCAAGGCUAAAUACUCCCUAGUGACCGAUAGUGAACCAGUACCGUGAGGGAAAGGUGAAAAGCACCCCGGAAGGGGAGUGAAAGAGAUCCUGAAACCGUGUGCCUACAAGUAGUCAGAGCCCGUUAACGGGUGAUGGCGUGCCUUUUGUAGAAUGAACCGGCGAGUUACGAUCCCGUGCAAGGUUAAGCAGAAGAUGCGGAGCCGCAGCGAAAGCGAGUCUGAAUAGGGCGAAUUGAGUACGUGGUCGUAGACCCGAAACCAGGUGAUCUACCCAUGUCCAGGGUGAAGUUCAGGUAACACUGAAUGGAGGCCCGAACCCACGCACGUUGAAAAGUGCGGGGAUGAGGUGUGGGUAGGGGUGAAAUGCCAAUCGAACCUGGAGAUAGCUGGUUCUCUCCGAAAUAGCUUUAGGGCUAGCCUCAAGGUAAGAGUCUCGGAGGUAGAGCACUGAUUGGACUAGGGGCCCCUACCGGGUUACCGAAUUCAGUCAAACUCCGAAUGCCGAUGACUUAUCCUUGGGAGUCAGACUGCGAGUGAUAAGAUCCGUAGUCGAAAGGGAAACAGCCCAGACCGCCAGCUAAGGUCCCAAAGUAUACGUUAAGUGGAAAAGGAUGUGGAGUUGCUUAGACAACCAGGAUGUUGGCUUAGAAGCAGCCACCAUUUAAAGAGUGCGUAAUAGCUCACUGGUCGAGUGACUCUGCGCCGAAAAUGUACCGGGGCUAAACGUAUCACCGAAGCUGCGGACUGUUCUUCGAACAGUGGUAGGAGAGCGUUCUAAGGGCUGUGAAGCAAGACCGGAAGGACUUGUGGAGCGCUUAGAAGUGAGAAUGCCGGUAUGAGUAGCGAAAGAGGGGUGAGAAUCCCCUCCACCGAAUGCCUAAGGUUUCCUGAGGAAGGCUCGUCCGCUCAGGGUUAGUCGGGACCUAAGCCGAGGCCGAAAGGCGUAGGCGAUGGAAACAGGUUGAUAUUCCUGUACCACCUCCUCACCAUUUGAGCAAUGGGGGGACGCAGGAGGAUAGGGUAAGCGCGGUAUUGGAUAUCCGCGUCCAAGCAGUUAGGCUGGGAAAUAGGCAAAUCCGUUUCCCGUGAAGGCUGAGCUGUGAUGGCGAGCGAAUUAUAGUAGCGAAGUUCCUGAUUCCACACUGCCAAGAAAAGCCUCUAGCGAGGUGAGAGGUGCCCGUACCGCAAACCGACACAGGUAGGCGAGGAGAGAAUCCUAAGGUGAUCGAGAGAACUCUCGUUAAGGAACUCGGCAAAAUGACCCCGUAACUUCGGGACCCUGGCUGUAUUGACCUUCUAACCCGCCGCCCUUAUCGGGCGGGGAGACAGUGUCAGGUGGGCAGUUUGACUGGGGCGGUCGCCUCCUAAAAGGUAACGGAGGCGCCCAAAGGUUCCCUCAGAAUGGUUGGAAAUCAUUCGCAGAGUGUAAAGGCACAAGGGAGCUUGACUGCGAGACCUACAAGUCGAGCAGGGACGAAAGUCGGGCUUAGUGAUCCGGUGGUUCCGCAUGACCGCUGGUGUACCAGUUGUUCUGCCAAGGGCAUCGCUGGGUAGCUAUGUGCGGACGGGAUAAGUGCUGAAAGCAUCUAAGCAUGAAGCCCCCCUCAAGAUGAGAUUUCCCAUUCCGCAAGGAAGUAAGAUCCCUGAAAGAUGAUCAGGUUGAUAGGUCUGAGGUGGAAGUGUGGCGACACAUGGAGCUGACAGAUACUAAUCGAUCGAGGACUUAACCAAUUU
RNAcentral lists this ribosomal RNA (2144 nucleotides) under Bacillus velezensis. Its description in RNAcentral is "23S ribosomal RNA". It matches the Rfam family "Bacterial large subunit ribosomal RNA". Lineage: Bacteria; Bacillati; Bacillota; Bacilli; Caryophanales; Bacillaceae. The record is from RNAcentral.